GAUAACAGGCUGAUGACUCUUACGAGCUCUUAUUGAUGGAGUCAUUUGGCACAUUGAUGUCGACUCAUCACAUCCUAAGGUUGAAGAAGGUCCCAAGGGUUCAGUUGUUUGCUGAUGAAAGUGGUACAUGAGUUGGGUUUAGAAUGUUGUGAGACAAUUC
Molecule: non-coding RNA, 160 nt
Filed under: Cucumis melo (muskmelon)
Lineage: Eukaryota; Viridiplantae; Streptophyta; Magnoliopsida; Cucurbitales; Cucurbitaceae
Also listed under: 1 other name
Description: Bacterial large subunit ribosomal RNA
Rfam family: Bacterial large subunit ribosomal RNA
Source: Rfam by way of RNAcentral